AGAAAUUUAUGAGAUUAAUUGGAUUUAUUGUGGAUCGCGUUCAAUAUAAGUAAUGAACUGCCUUUUCUAGACUCUUCAUUUAUAUAAUAUUAUUUUUGCAUCGAAUAAAUUGUUAAUGAAUUUAUAUGUGAUUUAUAAAUUUUACGAGAUGAUGAUUUGAAUGAAAGAUAGAUAGAUGAAUUAGAACAAUAUUUUUCGGAUAUAUUUACUGUUCUUGUGUCGUAUAUGCAUAUUUAGAUCGGAUUAUAAUAUAUUUAUUAUGUUACAAAAGAAUUUUGAUGUGCAUCAGAUUUGAAACUCUCAGCCUGACUAUGUUCUGGACCCUGCUAAUUAGGGGUUCUGCAUUGACAAUUUGGACUCCACCACAGGGUAUAAGUGUGGUAUUCUAGCCCACUCCGCAGGAUAUAAGUACGGUAUUCUGGCCCACUCCCCAGGAUAUAAGUACGGUAUUCUGGCCCACUCCGUAGGGUAUAAGUGCGGUUCUGUUUCUGGCCUAGCCACAAGGUAUAAGUGUGGUCAUAGUUAAAUGUUGUUGAGAUGAAUGUGAUUUGUUUCGAAUCAGAUUUAUGAGAUAAAUGUAAUUUGUUUCGA
RNAcentral lists this long non-coding RNA (591 nucleotides) under Phoenix dactylifera (date palm). RNAcentral describes it as "long non-coding RNA (PDAC_LNC021088)". Lineage: Eukaryota; Viridiplantae; Streptophyta; Magnoliopsida; Arecales; Arecaceae. The record is from RNAcentral.